This 88-nucleotide transfer RNA is filed under the name Candidatus Bathyarchaeota archaeon. RNAcentral describes it as "tRNA-Ser". It matches the Rfam family "tRNA". Rfam says of the family: Transfer RNA (tRNA) molecules are approximately 80 nucleotides in length. Lineage: Archaea; Thermoproteati; Candidatus Bathyarchaeota. RNAcentral also lists the same sequence under 2 other names. The record is from RNAcentral.
GCCGGGAUGGCAGAGUGGAUAACGCGCGGGCCUUGAGAGCCCGUGGACCUUCAGGUCCGCAUGGGUUCGAAUCCCAUUCCCGGCGCCA